Molecule: transfer RNA, 76 nt
Filed under: Nocardioides daphniae
Lineage: Bacteria; Bacillati; Actinomycetota; Actinomycetes; Propionibacteriales; Nocardioidaceae
Description: tRNA-Thr
Rfam family: tRNA
About the family: Transfer RNA (tRNA) molecules are approximately 80 nucleotides in length. Their secondary structure includes four short double-helical elements and three loops (D, anti-codon, and T loops). Further hydrogen bonds mediate the characteristic L-shaped molecular structure. tRNAs have two regions of fundamental functional importance: the anti-codon, which is responsible for specific mRNA codon recognition, and the 3' end, to which the tRNAs corresponding amino acid is attached (by aminoacyl-tRNA synthetases). tRNAs cope with the degeneracy of the genetic code in two manners: having more than one tRNA (with a specific anti-codon) for a particular amino acid; and 'wobble' base-pairing, i.e. permitting non-standard base-pairing at the 3rd anti-codon position.
Source: RNAcentral
GCCGCGUUAGCUCAGUUGGCAGAGCACCGUACUUGUAAUACGGAUGUCGUCGGUUCGAUUCCGACACGCGGCCCCA